Molecule: transfer RNA, 72 nt
Filed under: Saccharum spontaneum (wild sugarcane)
Lineage: Eukaryota; Viridiplantae; Streptophyta; Magnoliopsida; Poales; Poaceae
Also listed under: 2 other names
Description: tRNA-Asn
Source: RNAcentral
UGAACUCUAGGAGGUCGAAUCUCCCCUUGUUCCUCAGUAGCUCAGUGGUAGAGCGGUCGGCUGUUAACUGAC